GUGGGAGCGCUGCGCAGGCCGGCGGCCGAGACCACGGCGAGGCCAGCUAGCUCGCACGCCAUGGCUGGCUGGCCACCUGGCCCUCCACGCGUCAGCUCGUCCCAGACGGCUUUGCACGGCCGGCCAUGGCGAAGCACAAGCAGGGAGGUGGCCGGAUUGGUUAGAGAAGAUGGCAUCGCCCCAUUGAUGCGCAGGCUCACAGUAGCGUGAGGCACAACUAACGGCUGAGACUAACGGAAUGGUAUAGAAGGGAUGGAAAAUUAGAAACCAAUGGCAUUGAAGGGAUGACUAUAUUUUCAAUGGCACAUAAGGGAUGAAUCUAAUUUUUGGAUGCCAUACAGAGAAUUAACUCUUUUAAGUUUCUCAUAGGUCAGAUCUCCAUGUUCGAGAGGUCGACCAAUAUAUAUUUUUUUUGUGAGCACGGUACUGCAUCUUAUUUCUUCCCGGUCACAAAGUAACUUGAAUGUAGCAAUUUUGAAGGCACGUCCUUGGAACCUGAUGAAGCCCUAGGUAUUUGGAUUCUGCACCCGAAAAUAACAUCUGUUUACCUAUAAUUUUGUUAAACUAACUAAUUUUAGAAGUAAUAUGUAUUGUGGUUGUCAUGUAGACAAUUUCAGACAUUUUAUAUGCCGGCUAAUGGCUCUUGGCUCUUGGUUAAGCUUAAUGUACAUUGGGUGUUAUUUUUAGGGGAAAUAUCAAAUGCACAAGUGGAGAGUUGACAGUUCUGGGUUUCCACUUAUCCAUUAUGGGUAAGUUUGGGCACUGGACUGAAUCCAAUUUAUUUCGGACGGGGCACACUAACAUACACAUGACCGUAGGCACGUGAUGCAUACUAUUUUCUCCAUCUCAAAUUAUUAAUUAUUUUAGUUUUUCUAAAUAUAUAAAUUUUGUUAUACACCUAGAUAUAAUAUAUAUCUAGAUACAUAACAGAAUCUAUGUACCUAAAAAAACAAAAUUUCUAUAUAACAAAUGAGCUGGAUUUCGGGCAAGACCACGGUAUCCACGUCGUCCCGAAUUCAGACUACCAUCUAAUCAAGCAUCUACGGCGCUUAUAGCUCUCGCUGACCCACCGUCUCGUCUGUCUCCGUGAGCUCCUUUCCCACUUUCCCACUGCUGUUUCAGUUUUUUUCAAUGCUGUCUUCAUCUUUCUCUAUUUCACACCGAUGCUCGGGAAACUUGACGUGCUCGGGAAACUUCCUACUGACUAGACCAGAGAAAGAUGAGGUUGGAUCCUCACGCUCGUCCAUCGCGUCGCCACUAAUCCUCCCCUCCCCCCAUCCCCGCACUGCCGCCGCCCGUCCCCUCCACCACGCGCUGCCGCCAUCGCCACCGGUCCUCCGUCCCGCACCGCCGCUGCCCUCCGUGCGGCGAGGCGGAGCUCAGCAACGGUUCUUGGCGCGGCCGGCCUCCAACGGCGGCCCGACCUCACCCGCGGCGCGCCGGGUGGAGCUCGGCCCCGACUGGUGCCUCCCCGGCUGUUGCUCUUGGCGGCACGGUAGGAGGAAAAGCCCGGCGGCGGCGGCGGCCGGAUCCGCGGUCCUCCUCCUUCCAGCCACGCCCUGCUCCUCCGGACGCGCCUCCUGCUCCGACCGGCACUCUCCGGCGGCGGAUCUGGAGCUCGAGCUCCACGGCCUCCUUCCUCUGUCCUCCUCACUUUGCUCGACAGCUCCGCUGGGCGUGCCUCCCUGCCGCGCCCCCUCGCCGCGCUUCCUAGCUGCGCCCCGGCUUGCACGGCCUCGGCGGGACGGCGCACGCGCGAGGCUGCCCACAGCGGGACGCCACUAGGCCGCCGCGCGGCGAGACAGCUCAAUCGGCCACCGGUGUGCCCCCGCCACGGAGCAGACCGGCGCCGCUGCUGCCGGCUCCGAUUCCGCCCGACCCCGUGGUCCUCCGCCGCUAGGGAUGCCCCAGAUGAGUUGGUCCUUCUCUCUUUCCCCCCUAUCUGCAGUCUCCCACGCCCCAGAACGCCGGCCGGCUGGCCGGCCAGUGCCGCCGGCAGCCAUGGACAGGAGCUCUUUUGAGCUCCUCUGUUUAUGGCCCUAGCAAAUAACUGGUUUAUUUGCUGCUAUCUUGUCAAAAGUUGACAUAUACUACAAUAUUCCUUCUGUAAUAAAAUUUAGCAAUCUUGUCAUGGUUGUCUGAUCUUAAUUAUAACAACAUUGUGGAGAACAAAAGAAUGGAAACUCCUUUUUUUUUUAAGAGUGAAUGCGAGCUAUUUAUGAAGUAAGCAGAUGGCAUAACUGUCAACUGCACAAAGUCAUAUGAUUUCGAAGGAUACCAGACAUUAUUAGAAGUCUGUCUUAUGAAGUGAUGGCACUGUGAUCGAAUGAGGGAAUAGAAGAACUGUCAUUCUUCAGUGCUGAGAGCAACAAGGGAAGAAUAGUUCAUGACGAGAUGGGCACCCACGCUUUAUUUUUUUUACAACUAUUUGUUUUCAGACCAUACAGUGUUUAACGGCUGCACUGACAUUUCAUCUACUUCACCAGUUUAGUACGCAUUUACUCACAAACCAAGUUUUCUAGCUAUGAAGUCCACUGGUGGAAAGUUGCUUGUAUUUCAGUCAGUGUUUCUACAGAAGGCCACCAACAUUACCCAUGCUGAUGCAUCAUUAGGGAAUGAAAUUUGUUCAGUAAACAAAUCAGUUGAAGCUUCCCUUUCCAUCCAGCAACAACCUCACGGAUGUGUUAUUAGCAUGGAGCAUUGGUCAUGCUUUCGUGCAGAAGGCUAAAUUGGAGAGCCUUUAGAAGCGGCUGUCGUUUUUUGCAUCUUAAAGCCCCAUAAAUUGGAAAGCCUGUAGAAGCAGAUGCUGCACAGAUUCCUAAGGACCAUGGUGGUAUCACCAUGUUUUCAAUCUAGAAUGCUGACGACAAAACCUGAAGGAUAGGAAUCAAUCUUGGAACAAUUUUUUGAGG
Molecule: long non-coding RNA, 2912 nt
Organism: Panicum virgatum (switchgrass)
Lineage: Eukaryota; Viridiplantae; Streptophyta; Magnoliopsida; Poales; Poaceae
Exons: 6
Source: RefSeq, a predicted model, not a curated record